CCUACGGGUGGCAGCAGUGGGGAAUAUUGCUCAAUGGCGGAAACCCUGAUGCAGCGACGCCGCGUGAAGGAUGAAGUAUUUCUGUAUUUAAACUUCUAUCAGCAGGGAAGAAAAUGACGGUACCUGACUAAGAAUCCCCGGCUAACUACGUGCCAGCAGCCGCGGUACUACGUAGGGGGCAAGCGUUAUCCGGAUUUACUGGGUGUAAAGGGAGCGUAGACGGCAUGGCAAGUCUGAUGUGAAUACCCGUGGCUCAACCCCGGGACUGCAUUGGAUACUGUCAGGCUAGAGUGUAGGAGCGGCAAGCGGAAUGCAUAGUGUAGCGGUGAAAUGCGUAGAUAUUAGGCGGAACACCAGUGGCGAAGGCGGCUUGCUGGACGAUGACUGACGUUGAGGCUCGAAAGCGUGGGGAGCAAACAGGAUUAGAUACCCCAGUAGUC
This 440-nucleotide ribosomal RNA is filed under the name uncultured bacterium. RNAcentral's name for it is "partial 16S ribosomal RNA". It matches the Rfam family "Bacterial small subunit ribosomal RNA", at positions 338 to 795 of the family's 1533-position model. The record is from RNAcentral.